This 556-nucleotide ribosomal RNA is filed under the name Phyllopsora castaneocincta. RNAcentral describes it as "SSU rRNA". It matches the Rfam family "Bacterial small subunit ribosomal RNA", at positions 370 to 925 of the family's 1533-position model. The record is from RNAcentral. Lineage: Eukaryota; Fungi; Ascomycota; Lecanoromycetes; Lecanorales; Ramalinaceae.
AAUAGCCUAACGGCUGAACCAGCAACUUGGAGGAAUGAAUAGCGAUAGCUAAUUGCAUAUAUGUAUGAUGCAAUAUCGACUCAGUCGAAUAAAAUUCUGGCUAGGAUUAUGAUAAUGACAUUGUCUAGCUAUGUGUCUUGACCAAAUUACGUGCCAGCAGUCGCGGUAAUACGUAAAAGACUAGUGUUAUUCAUCUUUAAUAGGUUUAAAGGGUACCCAGACAGUAAAUCAAGCCCUAUACGGGACUAAUUUGCUAGAGUUACUUGCACGGGGGUUAUAAAGUACUAAUGGUGUAGAGAUAAAAUUUUGUAAUACCAUUUUUCGAAAGAAAAGUUAUGGCACUGGUAAAGGCGAAAGCAUCCCCUUAUGUGAUAACUGACGUUGAAGGACGAAGGCUUUGGAUCGCAAACAGGAUUAGGUACCCUAGUAGUCUAAGCAGAGAAUUAUGAGUGUCAUAGAUUAGAAAUUAAUUUUAUUCUAUAAAUGAAAGUGUAAGCACUCCACCUCAAGAGUAAUUUGGCAACAUUGGAACUGAAAUCAUUAGACCGUUUCUGAA